GGCCAGACUCCUACGGGAGGCAGCAGUGGGGGAUAUUGCACAAUGGGGGGAACCCUGAUGCAGCGACGCCGCGUGGGUGAAGGAGCGUUUCGGCGCGUAAAGCCCUAUCGGCAGGGAAGAAGGAGGACGGUACCUGACUAAGAAGCCCCGGCUAACUACGUGCCAGCAGCCGCGGUAAUACGGAGGAUGCGAGCGUUAUCCGGAUUUAUUGGGUUUAAAGGGUGCGUAGGCGGAAUGCCGAGUCAGCGGUAAAAUCGGGGGGCUCAACCUCGGUCCGCCGUUGAAACUGGCGUUCUUGAGUGGGCGAGAAGUAUGCGGAAUGCGUGGUGUAGCGGUGAAAUGCAUAGAUAUCACGCAGAACUCCGAUUGCGAAGGCAGCAUACCGGCGCCCAACUGACGCUGAAGCACGAAAGCGUGGGUGUCGAACAGGAUUAGACACCCGAGUA
RNAcentral lists this ribosomal RNA (446 nucleotides) under uncultured bacterium. Its description in RNAcentral is "partial 16S ribosomal RNA". It matches the Rfam family "Bacterial small subunit ribosomal RNA", at positions 329 to 792 of the family's 1533-position model. The record is from RNAcentral.